Molecule: long non-coding RNA, 1343 nt
Organism: Pieris brassicae (large cabbage white)
Lineage: Eukaryota; Metazoa; Arthropoda; Insecta; Lepidoptera; Pieridae
Exons: 3
Source: RefSeq, a predicted model, not a curated record
GUUUAUUUUGUUCUUAUUUAUUCAUUUACGUGUUUAAAUAUGAGUAAAACUAUUAAAAGUGGAGUUCGAGAGAUAUUGUUCUACAUGAUAUCCAAAUUCCAAGAAAAAGAAGCUGAAUUCUACCAAAAACAAGAUUGUUUACGUGUGGUGUUGAAUUUCUUAGGAAAUCUGGAGGAUGUAGAAGGAUUCGAUGCAAUAGUGAGAACUAUUGGUAAGCUCACUGAUUUAAAGCAGAUAGAUUGAAUAAAAUCCCAGAACCAAUAUUUUAAAGAAAUCGCUUCCAUCACUGGUGUAAGUGUAAUAUCAUCAGAAUAAAAAAAGAAAGGGCAACAAAUCAAGGUGUCUGGACUACACCUGAAAAAAAACGACCUCAUAAACCAACAGUGUCUCAUUCGGACGAUUUUGACAUGGAUGCUAUUCGCAACAAAAUUAAUGAAUUUUAUAUUGUUAGAAAACAAGUUCCACCAUUGAGAACACUUUUGCUGGAAUUAAGAGAAAGCAUAGGAUUUACCGGAUGUCAGGAAACUCUUCACCAAAUAUUAUUGGCUAAUAGCUCUGAAUUUAAGAAAAACAAAAAUGAAUGUUCUUUGUUAAUUGAGCGUAACAUAUCUGCCUGGAGACAUUACUAUUUAAGAUGCAGAAAGAAAGCUAAUAACAUAUUUAGAUGAAACUUGACCAUAAAAUCUACAAACCAAAAAAUUGUGGCAUGGUCCACAAGUACAUAGUCUACAAGUGGUGCUAUUCAAAAAUAUUUCAGCUGGAAAAAGGUCCAUAAUUGUACAAGCAGUCUAGGAGAAAGGUCCUGUGCCAAAGUCAUUAUUAGUAUGUAGCACUAAAUCAAAAAUGGCUGAUUAUUACCAUGAUAUGAAUGCUGCCAACUUCAAUAAGUGGUUAGAAGAAAAGCUCCUACCUAAUUUAAAUGAGUAAAUAAAGCCCCAACGACACAGAAUCGCAAACAUGAGAUAAGAGAAUGGCUUACUUUGAAUAAUAUUCAAUUUGAAGAGUACCAUAUGAAAGCAGAAUUGCUGUCUAGUAAAACGGUAUAAACCAGAGCCAAUAUAUGAAGCUGAUGAAAUUUCAAAGCAUGGUGGUCAACAUGUGAGUUCAUUAAAGAGUCAUUUGAAAAUGUAACAGCAGAAGAGUGGAAGAAAAUGACUGAUCAUGUUGUACAUGUGGAAAAGAAAUAUAAACAAAGGGACAGGACUAAAGAGGAACAUUUAUAAAAUUUCAUAAUCAAUGUGAGAGACAGUGAUAACAGCAAUAACUCUGAUGAAUCUAUGCAUAUUGAUUUUUUGGAUUCUGAUUUUGAUUAUUCCUAAUAAAGUUGUGUUUUAUAAUAAAUA